Molecule: ribosomal RNA, 253 nt
Filed under: uncultured bacterium
Lineage: Bacteria
Description: partial 16S ribosomal RNA
Rfam family: Bacterial small subunit ribosomal RNA
Source: RNAcentral
UACGUAGGGACCAAGCGUUGUUCGGAUUUACUGGGCGUAAAGGGCGCGUAGGCGGCUUGUCAAGUCACUUGUGAAAUCUCUGGGCUUAACCCAGAACGGCCAAGUGAAACUGAUAUGCUAGAGUGCAGAAGGGGCAAUCGGAAUUCUUGGUGUAGCGGUGAAAUGCGUAGAUAUCAAGAGGAACACCUGAGGUGAAGACGGGUUGCUGGGCUGACACUGACGCUGAGGCGCGAAAGCCAGGGGAGCAAACGGG